UGGGGAAUUUUGGACAAUGGGGGAAACCCUGAUCCAGCCAUCCCGCGUGUGCGAUGAAGGCCUUCGGGUUGUAAAGCACUUUUGGCAGGAAAGAAACGUCAUGGGUUAAUACCCCGUGAAACUGACGGUACCUGCAGAAUAAGCACCGGCUAACUACGUGCCAGCAGCCGCGGUAAUACGUAGGGUGCAAGCGUUAAUCGAAUUACUGGGCGUAAAGCGUGCGCAGGCGGUUCGGAAAGAAAGAUGUGAAAUCCCAGAGCUCAACUUUGGAACUGCAUUUUUAACUACCGGGCUAGGGUGUGUCAGAGGGAGGUGGAAUUCCGCGUGUAGCAGUGAAAUGCGUAGAUAUGCGGAGGAACACCGAUGGCGAAGGCAGCCUCCUGGGAUAACACUGACGCUCAUGCACGAAAGCGUGGGGAGCAAACAGG
RNAcentral lists this ribosomal RNA (428 nucleotides) under Acidobacteriota bacterium. RNAcentral's name for it is "Acidobacteria bacterium partial 16S ribosomal RNA". It matches the Rfam family "Bacterial small subunit ribosomal RNA", at positions 355 to 776 of the family's 1533-position model. Lineage: Bacteria; Pseudomonadati; Acidobacteriota. The record is from RNAcentral.